This 465-nucleotide ribosomal RNA is filed under the name Vreelandella stevensii. RNAcentral describes it as "partial 16S ribosomal RNA". It matches the Rfam family "Bacterial small subunit ribosomal RNA", at positions 338 to 795 of the family's 1533-position model. The record is from RNAcentral. Lineage: Bacteria; Pseudomonadati; Pseudomonadota; Gammaproteobacteria; Oceanospirillales; Halomonadaceae.
CCUACGGGAGGCAGCAGUGGGGAAUAUUGGACAAUGGGCGAAAGCCUGAUCCAGCCAUGCCGCGUGUGUGAAGAAGGCCUUCGGGUUGUAAAGCACUUUCAGUGGGGAAGAAAGCCUUGGGGCUAAUACCCUCGAGGAAGGACAUCACCCACAGAAGAAGCACCGGCUAACUCCGUGCCAGCAGCCGCGGUAAUACGGAGGGUGCGAGCGUUAAUCGGAAUUACUGGGCGGAAAGCGCGCGUAGGCGGUCUGAUAAGCCGGUUGUGAAAGCCCCGGGCUCAACCUGGGAACGGCAUCCGGAACUGUCAGGCUAGAGUGCAGGAGAGGAAGGUAGAAUUCCCGGUGUAGCGGUGAAAUGCGUAGAGAUCGGGAGGAAUACCAGUGGCGAAGGCGGCCUUCUGGACUGACACUGACGCUGAGGUGCGAAAGCGUGGGUAGCAAACAGGAUUAGAUACCCUUGUAGUC